AGCGAACGCUGGCGGCAGGCCUAACACAUGCAAGUCGAACGAACCUUUCGGGGUUAGUGGCGGCUGGGUGAGUAACCCGUGGGAACGUUCCCUUAGGUUCGGAAUAACUCAGGGACACUUGUGCUAAUACCGAACGUGCCCUUCGGGGGAAAGAUUAAUCGCCUUUAGAGCGGCCCGCGUCGGAUUAGCUAGUUGGUUGAGGUAAUGGUUCACCAAGGCGACAAUCAGUAGCUGGUCUGAGAGGAAGGUCCGCCACCUUGGGACUGAGACCCGGCCCAAACUCCUACGGAAGGCAGGAGUGGGGGAUCUUGCGCAGUGGGCGGAGGGCUGACGCAGCCAUGCCGCGAGAAUGAUGAAGGUCUUAGGGUUGAAAAAUUCUUGCACCGGGGACGAUAAUGACGGUACCCAAAGAAGAAGCCCCGGCUAACUUCGUG
RNAcentral lists this ribosomal RNA (434 nucleotides) under uncultured bacterium. RNAcentral describes it as "partial 16S ribosomal RNA". It matches the Rfam family "Bacterial small subunit ribosomal RNA", at positions 29 to 507 of the family's 1533-position model. The record is from RNAcentral.